GCCUUCGUAGAAAUCAGCGGUAGAUCGCACUGGCCACGAGUUCUUAAACUCUCUUCCUUGCGGCCACGUGUAUGCGCGGGUUCGAAUCUCGCCGAAGGCA
This 100-nucleotide transfer RNA is filed under the name Bifidobacterium adolescentis. RNAcentral describes it as "tRNA-OTHER". It matches the Rfam family "tRNA". From Rfam's summary of the family: Transfer RNA (tRNA) molecules are approximately 80 nucleotides in length. Their secondary structure includes four short double-helical elements and three loops (D, anti-codon, and T loops). Further hydrogen bonds mediate the characteristic L-shaped molecular structure. tRNAs have two regions of fundamental functional importance: the anti-codon, which is responsible for specific mRNA codon recognition, and the 3' end, to which the tRNAs corresponding amino acid is attached (by aminoacyl-tRNA synthetases). tRNAs cope with the degeneracy of the genetic code in two manners: having more than one tRNA (with a specific anti-codon) for a particular amino acid; and 'wobble' base-pairing, i.e. permitting non-standard base-pairing at the 3rd anti-codon position. Lineage: Bacteria; Bacillati; Actinomycetota; Actinomycetes; Bifidobacteriales; Bifidobacteriaceae. RNAcentral also lists the same sequence under 3 other names. The record is from RNAcentral.